This 253-nucleotide ribosomal RNA is filed under the name uncultured bacterium. RNAcentral's name for it is "partial 16S ribosomal RNA". It matches the Rfam family "Bacterial small subunit ribosomal RNA", at positions 524 to 776 of the family's 1533-position model. The record is from RNAcentral.
UACGUAGGGUGCAAGCGUUAAUCGGAAUUACUGGGCGUAAAGCGUGCGCAGGCGGUUAUGUAAGACAGUUGUGAAAUCCCCGGGCCCAACCUGGGAACUGCAUCUGUGACUGCAUAGCUAGAGUACGGUAGAGGGGGAUGGAAUUCCGCGUGUAGCAGUGAAAUGCGUAGAUAUGCGGAGGAACACCGAUGGCGAAGGCAAUCCCCUGGACCUGUACUGACGCUCAUGCACGAAAGCGUGGGGAGCAAACAGG